CCCCUCCCGCAGCCUCGCCGCCUUGGUGCCUUCCUGCCCGGCUCGGCCGGCGCUCGUCCCCGGCCCCGGCCCCGCCAGCCCGGGUCUCCACGCUCGCAGCAGCUCAGCCCUGCAGUGGCUCCGGACCCGAUGCUAUGAGAGGGAAGCGAGCCGGGCGCCCAGACCUGCAGGAGGCGUCGGAUGCGCGGCCGGUCUCGGGACCGGGCUCUGUCUCCGGCUCGCCUUGCCCUCUGGUGAUUAUUUGGCUCUGUUCAUAGCCCUGCCGCUCCUCGGAGGAGACGGGCACAUCUGAGACGAGCCAUCGGUGUCGUGUGCGUGUGGAAUAUCUGCAGACAUGACUGCGUGGAGGAAAUUCAAGUCCCUGCUCCUGCUUCUGGUGCUGCUGGUUCUGUGCGCGGAGCUUCUCACUGCAGCUAAGGCUAGACUCGGGACUUAGCUUUGGCUGAGACAACAAUCAGGAGUGUGAUUCACCGCCCAAGUAGUUGCUUCCCUCCCUUGAGUAAAGUGCCAUGUUAUCAGCAGAGGCUGCCUCUGGUUCUGUGGACUCCCACUCACGCAUGCGAGCAAUUCAGCAGAAGAGAGCGUCUGAGUGGAAGGUGACUCUUCGCACUUCUCUUCAUUCUCCAGGACAUUCUACUCUUACUGUUUACAUAUCUUUGUUGCAACAUUAGUUUCCUUAUGCUGUAGGCAAUUGCAUGU
This is a long non-coding RNA of Galeopterus variegatus (Sunda flying lemur), 699 nucleotides long. RefSeq lists it as uncharacterized. The record is from RefSeq and is a predicted model, not a curated record. The transcript has 2 exons. Lineage: Eukaryota; Metazoa; Chordata; Mammalia; Dermoptera; Cynocephalidae.